RNAcentral lists this ribosomal RNA (254 nucleotides) under uncultured prokaryote. RNAcentral describes it as "partial 16S ribosomal RNA". It matches the Rfam family "Bacterial small subunit ribosomal RNA", at positions 524 to 777 of the family's 1533-position model. The record is from RNAcentral.
UACGGAGGAUGCAAGCGUUAUCCGGAUUUAUUGGGUUUAAAGGGUGCGCAGGUUGUUUGAUAAGUCAGUGGUGAAAGUCCGUCGCUUAACGGUAGGAUUGCCAUUGAUACUGUUAGACUUGAAUAUGGAUGAGGUAGGCGGAAUGUGUAGUGUAGCGGUGAAAUGCAUAGAUAUUACACAGAACACCGAUUGCGAAGGCAGCUUACUAAUCCCUCAUCGACGCUGAGGCACGAAAGCGUGGGGAUCAAACAGGA